Sceloporus undulatus (fence lizard) is the source of this 877-nucleotide long non-coding RNA. RefSeq lists it as uncharacterized. The record is from RefSeq and is a predicted model, not a curated record. The transcript is spliced from 3 exons. Lineage: Eukaryota; Metazoa; Chordata; Lepidosauria; Squamata; Phrynosomatidae.
UUUGGAUAGUGACACUGUCCAGCUAGGGGCAGAGAAGAACAAUUCUCUGAAUCUUAUUUUCAUACUGAAUUUUGAGAAGAGAAGAUACAGAGGCUGUUUGAGAAAUAUCCUUAAAUGGGAAAUCUCUCAUCCAGGCAUAAGCUUUAUUCUCUCCUACAGGUCCUGCUGCUUCCAGGCUUAGCUGAAAAUGCCACAGGGAUCAGCUGGAGGAGAGGAGCGACUCUUUUACACAUGUGCACAACCAAUGCAGAGAAGCUGGAAGCACAUCAGACUGUGUUGUACUGUACUGAUUCCUAUCAAUUUAAGUCUACUAAAUACAAGAAAAACCUCUUGUACAAAAAUAUGGGCCCAGUCAAAAUGAUCUUUUAGUAGUAGGCUGUAGCAAUUAAAGUUUAGAGAUCCUACACUCGAGUCAUAGAGUUUAAUGAAUGUGUUCUACCCUUGUGAAAGAAAAAGAAGCCACAGUAGUUAAGAGUCAUUCUGAAAUGACACAAGCAGGGUUAUUAUCCUGGAUUUAUUCAUGAUUCUAUGAGAAAUGUUUUUCCCACAGUUUUUGGUAUUCUUUUCUUUAGAAUCUUUUAUGCCCACUUUUUGGUAUCCUUCUCUUUGUCUUGGCUAAGAUCUUCAUUUUUUCUAAUUAUAUACUAUUAUAUAUGCUUUACAUGCAUGGCUUCAAUUAUAGCUACUUCAUUUUAAUUAGACCUGCUGUGGAACUUUUGGCAAAAAUAACUGUGCUGGGGGUUUUACAUCAGAGGCAUGGCUUUCUCUGUGAGAUGGCUAUCACACAGCUGCACUCUUCCAGCACUGAAAUGCACAAUACUGGUUACAAAGCACUGAGAUGGAAACCAGUUCAUGUUAAAUGGCAGAGCUGCUAAAC